GAUGAACGCUGGCGGCGUGCUUAACACAUGCAAGUCGAACGGUAAGGCCCUUCGGGGUACACGAGUGGCGAACGGGUGAGUAACACGUGGGUGAUCUGCCCUGCACUUCGGGAUAAGCCUGGGAAACUGGGUCUAAUACCGGAUAGGACUCCUGGCUUCAUGGUUGGGGGUGGAAAGCUUUUGCGGUGUGGGAUGGGCCCGCGGCCUAUAAGCUUGUUGGUGGGGUAAGGGCCUACCAAGGCGAGGACGGGUAGCCGGCCUGAGAGGGUGACCGGUCUGCAUGGGACGCAGUUACGGCCCAGGCUGCUACGGGAGGCAGAAGUGGGGAAUAUUGCACAGUGGGCGAAAGCCUGAUGCAGCGACGCCGCGUGAGGGAUGCCGGCCUUCGGGUUGUAAACCUCUUUCAGCUAUGACGAAGCGCAAGUGACGGUAGUAGCAGAAGAAGGACCGGCCAACUACGUGCCAGCAGCCGCCGUAA
Molecule: ribosomal RNA, 478 nt
Filed under: uncultured bacterium
Lineage: Bacteria
Description: partial 16S ribosomal RNA
Rfam family: Bacterial small subunit ribosomal RNA
Source: RNAcentral